This 790-nucleotide small RNA is filed under the name Pan troglodytes (chimpanzee). RNAcentral describes it as "retained intron". The record is from RNAcentral. Lineage: Eukaryota; Metazoa; Chordata; Mammalia; Primates; Hominidae.
GCGAUUCUCCUACGUCAGCCUCCUGAGUAGCUGGGACCACAGGUGUGCGCUACCAUGCCCAGCUAGUUUUUUGUAUUUUUUAUACAGACCGGGUUUCGCCAUGUUGCCCAGGCUGGUCUCAAACUCCUGAGCUCAAGCGAUCUGCCCGCCUCAGCCUCCCAAAGUGUUGGAAUUACAGGGGUGAGCUACCACGCUGGCCAAGAAUCACUUCUUAAUGCACUGUCCCCCGAUUAAGGGAGAAGCAGCAGCCAGCCCCCCGGCUCACACUCCGGGACCUGCAGAAUAAGAGCAGCAGCUGCAGCACCCCCAGCUCCAACGCCACCAGCCUUCUCCACACCGUGUCCCCAGAGCCCCCCAGGCCUCCGCAGCAGCCCGUACCAACCGAGCUCUCACUGGCCAGCAUCACUGUGCCCCUGGAGUCCAUCAAACCCAGCAACAUCCUGCCCGUGACUGUGUAUGACCAGCACGGCUUCCGCAUCCUCUUCCAUUUUGCCCGCGACCCACUGCCAGGGCGCUCCGACGUGCUGGUGGUGGUGGUUUCCAUGCUGAGCACCGCCCCCCAGCCCAUCCGCAACAUCGUGUUCCAGUCAGCUGUCCCCAAGGUUAUGAAGGUGAAGCUGCAGCCACCCUCGGGCACGGAGCUGCCGGCUUUUAACCCCAUCGUCCACCCCUCAGCAAUCACCCAGGUCCUGCUGCUUGCCAACCCCCAGAAGGAGAAGGUUCGCCUCCGCUACAAGCUCACCUUCACCAUGGGUGACCAGACCUACAACGAGAUGGGGGAUGUGGACCA